AAGAACUACUAGGGGAGCCUAUCAUGGGCUGAGAAGAAGCAAUAGCUUCUGACUCUUAUUGACCUGAUCUGGUUAAGACCAGCGGAGGGAAGUAGUAGAGAUUCUCA
This 107-nucleotide non-coding RNA is filed under the name Virgibacillus chiguensis. Its description in RNAcentral is "TPP sequence". It matches the Rfam family "TPP riboswitch aptamer (THI element)". From Rfam's summary of the family: Vitamin B(1) in its active form thiamin pyrophosphate (TPP) is an essential coenzyme that is synthesised by coupling of pyrimidine and thiazole moieties in bacteria. The previously detected thiamin-regulatory element, thi box was extended, resulting in a new, highly conserved RNA secondary structure, the THI element, which is widely distributed in eubacteria and also occurs in some archaea. Lineage: Bacteria; Bacillati; Bacillota; Bacilli; Caryophanales; Bacillaceae. The record is from RNAcentral.